CAGGAACAGGGUCUGCAGGUACUGGCACCAUUCCUCGGCAUCCGGGCUGUAGACGAUGAGGAUGUCGCAUCCUCUGGGCACCCCUGAGGCUGCCAUGCCGCGGGGCGCCGCUCACAUCCCUGGCUCGCUGCGUGCCCGGGGCCGGGACCGGGGCCGGCGGCGUCCUGGCUCGGGCUGGAGGGGCGCCGGGCUCCGCGCGGGACCGGCCGCCGCUCUGGCGCUUCCUCCCUCAGGGCAGCCCGGCCUCGCCACGAGGGCGUGUCCACAGAGUCCGCCCCGCCUGCGGGACUCGGCCCGCGGCACCUGCACCCGCGGCCGUUGGGGAGGGGAAGUGAGAACCCCAUGCCGGCCGCCGGCCAGCUCCCCCCACGGCCCCCUGCUCAGGGGCAGCGAGAAGGCGGGGG
Molecule: long non-coding RNA, 404 nt
Filed under: Homo sapiens (human)
Lineage: Eukaryota; Metazoa; Chordata; Mammalia; Primates; Hominidae
Description: LNC_000473
Source: RNAcentral